CAAAGCGGUCAUGUGCCAUCACAGUUGGAAGCAUGUCAUUCAUGGAUCCGAAAAGGAUAAAAAGGGACAUCUGUGUCAGGCAGUCUGCAUGGAAGAUGGCCCUGCUGUGAGUUAAGAUGUCACAAUCAUCUUUGGGACCAUGAUGGAGAUGAAACAGAUGUCAGCUGAGGACAGGUUGGAGAGGAAGAAGCACAUAGGGGUGCAGAGGUGGGAGUCAGAGCUGACAGCGAAGAUGAUGAGCAGGUUCCCAAGCACUGUGACCAGGCAAGGCUCCUGCAGGUGCAGAAACUGAAUUUCUAGAAUUCUGAAUAUGCUGGAGAUACCUGGCCCAGAAAAAGAUGGACACACAUUACAGAGGAAACUUAAAUACUGUUUUGCCUUCAGCAUCAAUAUCCUAAUAAGAGGGAUGCAAGACAUGUUGGAAAUAGUCUGAUCCAUUCUCUACAGUGCUUAGCAGUGUAUCUA
This 465-nucleotide long non-coding RNA is filed under the name Heterocephalus glaber (naked mole-rat). RNAcentral describes it as "lncRNA (ENSHGLG00000031086.2)". Lineage: Eukaryota; Metazoa; Chordata; Mammalia; Rodentia; Bathyergidae. The record is from RNAcentral.